GACGAACGCUGGCGGCGUGCUUAACACAUGCAAGUCGAACGGAAAGGCCCUGCUUUUGUGGGGUGCUCGAGUGGCGAACGGGUGAGUAACACGUGAGUAACCUGCCCUUGACUUUGGGAUAACUUCAGGAAACUGGGGCUAAUACCGGAUAGGAGCUCCUGCUGCAUGGUGGGGGUUGGAAAGUUUCGGCGGUUGGGGAUGGACUCGCGGCUUAUCAGCUUGUUGGUGGGGUAGUGGCUUACCAAGGCUUUGACGGGUAGCCGGCCUGAGAGGGUGACCGGCCACAAUGGGACUGAGGUACGGCGCAGACUCCUACGGGAGGCAGCAGUGGGGAAUAUUGCACAAUGGGCGGAAGCCUGAUGCAGCAACGCUGCGUGCGGGAUGACGGCCUUCGGGUUGUAAACCGCUUUCGCCUGUGACGAAGCGUGAGUGACGGUAAUGGGUAAAGAAGCACCGGCUAACUACGUG
RNAcentral lists this ribosomal RNA (468 nucleotides) under uncultured bacterium. Its description in RNAcentral is "partial 16S ribosomal RNA". It matches the Rfam family "Bacterial small subunit ribosomal RNA", at positions 28 to 507 of the family's 1533-position model. The record is from RNAcentral.